UACGAGGGGAGCUAGCGUUAUUCGGAAUUACUGGGCGUAAAGCGCACGUAGGCGGCUUUGUAAGUAAGAGGUGAAAGCCUGGAGCUCAACUCCAGAACUGCCUUUUAGACUGCAUCGCUUGAAUCCAGGAGAGGUGAGUGGAAUUCCGAGUGUAGAGGUGAAAUUCGUAGAUAUUCGGAAGAACACCAGUGGCGAAGGCGGCUCACUGGACUGGUAUUGACGCUGAGGUGCGAAAGCGUGGGGAGCAAACAGG
This 253-nucleotide ribosomal RNA is filed under the name uncultured bacterium. RNAcentral describes it as "partial 16S ribosomal RNA". It matches the Rfam family "Bacterial small subunit ribosomal RNA", at positions 524 to 776 of the family's 1533-position model. The record is from RNAcentral. RNAcentral also lists the same sequence under 1 other name.